CAGCUUUGGGACUCAGACUGGCUUCCU
RNAcentral lists this non-coding RNA (27 nucleotides) under Homo sapiens (human). Lineage: Eukaryota; Metazoa; Chordata; Mammalia; Primates; Hominidae. The record is from RNAcentral.